GAGUUGUAUGAAGGGAGGGGGAUUAGCAUCCCCCUUGACAAAGAUGGACAGGGCCUCAGAUCUACAUACUUGUACAUGGUUAAGGCUUUGCCACCCAUUUCAUAACAUCUGUUUAUU
Molecule: non-coding RNA, 117 nt
Filed under: Sciurus vulgaris (Eurasian red squirrel)
Lineage: Eukaryota; Metazoa; Chordata; Mammalia; Rodentia; Sciuridae
Source: RNAcentral